This is a long non-coding RNA of Pan troglodytes (chimpanzee), 1619 nucleotides long. RefSeq lists it as uncharacterized. The transcript is spliced from 2 exons. NCBI's taxonomy places the organism in Eukaryota, Metazoa, Chordata, Mammalia, Primates, Hominidae. The record is from RefSeq and is a predicted model, not a curated record.
GCCUGGGCUGCGGGGGAGUCUGGGUCACUGGCUGCAGGGAGGGGCACGUUCUCACUCGUGGAACAUUCUCAGGCCAACACAGUCACAAAUGGGGUCACUUCUGAUGGUGCUCGGCUGCCGCAGCUGCAAGCCAUGAAUCGCCCACGCUAGCUUUGGUUGGGGCAGAGUCCUAGGGCCUGAGUGAGAGAUGAAGCAGGAGGGACAGUGGACCAGCCAGGCUCCCUGCGAGGUCCUCCCAAUGGCACCUGAGGAUGGGGAAGCAAGGGUGGCCUGAGGGACCCUGCAGCCUCUGUAGGCACCCCUUCCUCUGUUGCCUGGCCUGAGCACAGCUGCCCUAGGACCAGCAGAGCCUACACCUCACCGCUCCCUCCCGCAGAGGGUGCGGCAGAGCGAGGGCCCACCUUCCACCAGAGACUCCACCCUCACUUCGGAGAAAGCUGAAUUCAGAAAGACCCACUCCUUCCCACGCAGGCAGGGAGGGUGCCCGGUGGGGGUCUGGGCUCCAUGGAGGAGGUAUUGGAGCAGGACAGCGGGCAGCUUUAGGGGACGCAGCCUCUAGGCCGGUCUGAGCCCCAAGGGUCAGGAGAUCGGUUACGCACAGGAGACCGAGCACGUGAGCGCAUGCAGGGAGGCCGGCGGGGCUGACAGGAGGUGCGAUGUAGAGAGGACGGCAGCCACAGCGGCGCACACGGUAUUAGAUUCACCUCGGAAGCACCGGAAUGCAGGGUUCCCAAUACAAAUAGGUAGAAGAAUCUGCAGAUGAAAUGUGUGUGUGCGUGCGUCUGCAAAGUAAGAAAAUGCCAGGAAACAUGGAUGGAAAAGGCACAGAUGCCAGCCUGAAGGGUCCCCCGCUGAGACAAACUUAACAACAAAAUAAACUAAAGAAGGACAGGAACAGAUGAUGGCCCAUGCAUAAAAUGAGACUCUGUGGUUCUAUAUAGAUGUCAAUAUACUUAAUUAAUAAAUGGGGGAAAAAGAAAGCUCACCCACCCCGGUAGAAUUCCAGUUGAUAAGUGACCGCAUGAGGAAUUCCCCCCGGCAGCCGUUGCUGUCACAAUUAAUUCAGGCAACAAGAACAUCAGUCAGUGCCAAACCUGGUGGCGAACGUGGAGUGAAGAAUGGGGUUUUACAUCACCUCUGAGUGUCCCCACGAAAUGUGCAUGAAUGACAGAGAAGGAAGGAAUUUCCAGUGGAGACCCCUGCAGACGCCACGUUCCCCAGAUGGUCAAGGUCAAUGCCCCCUGGAGUGGACACAUUGAGUCAAGGUCUUAGAAGUCAAGGAGAGACUGAGGACUGUUCCAGGUUGAAGAUGAGCAUGAAGUCUUAUAAUCCCUGUAAUCCCAGCACUUUGGGAGGCCGAGGUGGGCAGAUCACCUGAGGUCAGGAGUUCGACACCAGCCUGGCCAACCAACAUGGUGAAACCACGUCUCUACUACAAAUACAAAAAUUAGCCAGAUGUGGUGGCACAUGUCUGUAGUACCAGUUACUCGAGAGGCUGAGGCAGGAGAAUCGCUUGAACCUGGGAGACGGAGCUUGCAGUGAGCCGAGAUCGCACCACUGCACUCCAGCCUGGGCGACAGAGUGAGAUUCCUUCUCAAAAAAAAAAAAAAAGAAAGAAA